This 1870-nucleotide ribosomal RNA is filed under the name Escherichia coli. RNAcentral's name for it is "bacterial LSU rRNA". It matches the Rfam family "Bacterial large subunit ribosomal RNA", at positions 758 to 2514 of the family's 2925-position model. Lineage: Bacteria; Pseudomonadati; Pseudomonadota; Gammaproteobacteria; Enterobacterales; Enterobacteriaceae. The record is from RNAcentral.
AACACUAACUGGAGGACCGAACCGACUAAUGUUGAAAAAUUAGCGGAUGACUUGUGGCUGGGGGUGAAAGGCCAAUCAAACCGGGAGAUAGCUGGUUCUCCCCGAAAGCUAUUUAGGUAGCGCCUCGUGAAUUCAUCUCCGGGGGUAGAGCACUGUUUCGGCAAGGGGGUCAUCCCGACUUACCAACCCGAUGCAAACUGCGAAUACCGGAGAAUGUUAUCACGGGAGACACACGGCGGGUGCUAACGUCCGUCGUGAAGAGGGAAACAACCCAGACCGCCAGCUAAGGUCCCAAAGUCAUGGUUAAGUGGGAAACGAUGUGGGAAGGCCCAGACAGCCAGGAUGUUGGCUUAGAAGCAGCCAUCAUUUAAAGAAAGCGUAAUAGCUCACUGGUCGAGUCGGCCUGCGCGGAAGAUGUAACGGGGCUAAACCAUGCACCGAAGCUGCGGCAGCGACGCUUAUGCGUUGUUGGGUAGGGGAGCGUUCUGUAAGCCUGCGAAGGUGUGCUGUGAGGCAUGCUGGAGGUAUCAGAAGUGCGAAUGCUGACAUAAGUAACGAUAAAGCGGGUGAAAAGCCCGCUCGCCGGAAGACCAAGGGUUCCUGUCCAACGUUAAUCGGGGCAGGGUGAGUCGACCCCUAAGGCGAGGCCGAAAGGCGUAGUCGAUGGGAAACAGGUUAAUAUUCCUGUACUUGGUGUUACUGCGAAGGGGGGACGGAGAAGGCUAUGUUGGCCGGGCGACGGUUGUCCCGGUUUAAGCGUGUAGGCUGGUUUUCCAGGCAAAUCCGGAAAAUCAAGGCUGAGGCGUGAUGACGAGGCACUACGGUGCUGAAGCAACAAAUGCCCUGCUUCCAGGAAAAGCCUCUAAGCAUCAGGUAACAUCAAAUCGUACCCCAAACCGACACAGGUGGUCAGGUAGAGAAUACCAAGGCGCUUGAGAGAACUCGGGUGAAGGAACUAGGCAAAAUGGUGCCGUAACUUCGGGAGAAGGCACGCUGAUAUGUAGGUGAAGUCCCUCGCGGAUGGAGCUGAAAUCAGUCGAAGAUACCAGCUGGCUGCAACUGUUUAUUAAAAACACAGCACUGUGCAAACACGAAAGUGGACGUAUACGGUGUGACGCCUGCCCGGUGCCGGAAGGUUAAUUGAUGGGGUCAGCGCAAGCGAAGCUCUUGAUCGAAGCCCCGGUAAACGGCGGCCGUAACUAUAACGGUCCUAAGGUAGCGAAAUUCCUUGUCGGGUGGCGUAAUGAUGGCCAGGCUGUCUCCACCCGAGACUCAGUGAAAUUGAACUCGCUGUGAAGAUGCAGUGUACCCGCGGCAAGACGGAAAGACCCCGUGAACCUUUACUAUAGCUUGACACUGAACAUUGAGCCUUGAUGUGUAGGAUAGGUGGGAGGCUUUGAAGUGUGGACGCCAGUCUGCAUGGAGCCGACCUUGAAAUACCACCCUUUAAUGUUUGAUGUUCUAACGUGGACCCGUAAUCCGGGUUGCGGACAGUGUCUGGUGGGUAGUUUGACUGGGGCGGUCUCCUCCUAAAGAGUAACGGAGGAGCACGAAGGUUGGCUAAUCCUGGUCGGACAUCAGGAGGUUAGUGCAAUGGCAUAAGCCAGNNNNNNNNNNUGGGUAGUUUGACUGGGGCGGUCUCCUCCUAAAGAGUAACGGAGGAGCACGAAGGUUGGCUAAUCCUGGUCGGACAUCAGGAGGUUAGUGCAAUGGCAUAAGCCAGCUUGACUGCGAGCGUGACGGCGCGAGCAGGUGCGAAAGCAGGUCAUAGUGAUCCGGUGGUUCUGAAUGGAAGGGCCAUCGCUCAACGGAUAAAAGGUACUCCGGGGAUAACAGGCUGAUACCGCCCAAGAGUUCAUAUCGACGGCGG